Molecule: non-coding RNA, 46 nt
Filed under: Echinostoma caproni
Lineage: Eukaryota; Metazoa; Platyhelminthes; Trematoda; Plagiorchiida; Echinostomatidae
Source: RNAcentral
GCAUUGUUGACGAGUCCCAAAACAGGACGAAACAGUUGUCCAAUGC